AUGUGGAAGCAGAGUUAUUCAAAUGAGGCUACGAAGAACCACAGACUGGAUUGUUCUUGUGAAUAAUUCGAGUACAGGUUGAACGGGCGAUUGGAAGAAUGAACAUGUCACAUGGCAAGUGUCAUGCGUGUGGGGACAAUGGUUAUUUUGUUGAAUGCAAAGACGUAAAAUCUGACACCGAGCCUGUGAAAGUGGUGCACGAAGAAGUAAUAGGUUUAAUAACAACUAGUGAGGACCCAGAAUUAUCCAAGGUGAGGCGUCGAGGGUGGUACUUGGCUUCUAGAUGCACGGUGCACGUUUGCAACUCAAGGGACAUGUUUGUGGACUACCAUCCAUGGACUGGUCAUGAGGUGGUUUUGGACAACAAUGAGCAUGUUAAUGUGGAAGGGAUUGGUUCGGUGGUGCUCCGAUUCACCACUGGUAAGAUUUUGACUCUUUCAAAUGUUUUUCACAUCCCCGCAAUC
This 464-nucleotide long non-coding RNA is filed under the name Helianthus annuus (common sunflower). RNAcentral describes it as "sRNA HanXRQr2_Chr12g0545371". Lineage: Eukaryota; Viridiplantae; Streptophyta; Magnoliopsida; Asterales; Asteraceae. The record is from RNAcentral.